This 388-nucleotide ribosomal RNA is filed under the name uncultured bacterium. RNAcentral's name for it is "bacterial SSU rRNA". It matches the Rfam family "Bacterial small subunit ribosomal RNA", at positions 28 to 417 of the family's 1533-position model. The record is from RNAcentral.
GACGAACGCUGGCGGCGUGCUUAACACAUGCAAGUCGAGCGGUAAGGCCCUUUCGGGGGUACACGAGCGGCGAGCGGGUGAGUAACACGUGGGUGACCUGCCCUCAGCUCUGGGAUAAGCCUGGGAAACCGGGUCUAAUACUGGAUAUGACUCCAUGACGCACGUUGUGGGGUGGAAAGCCUUGUGCGGCUGAGGAUGGGCCCGCGGCCUAUCAGCUUGUUGGUGGGGUGANGGCCUACCAAGGCGACGACGGGUAGCCGGCCUGAGAGGGCGACCGGCCACACUGGGACUGAGACACGGCCCAGACUCCUACGGGAGGCAGCAGUGGGGAAUCUUGCGCAAUGGGCGAAAGCCUGACGCAGCGACGCCGCGUGAGGGAUGACGGCCU